RNAcentral lists this ribosomal RNA (492 nucleotides) under uncultured bacterium. RNAcentral's name for it is "partial 16S ribosomal RNA". It matches the Rfam family "Bacterial small subunit ribosomal RNA", at positions 29 to 507 of the family's 1533-position model. The record is from RNAcentral.
AGUGAACGCUGGCGGUAGGCCUAACACAUGCAAGUCGAACGGCAGCACAGUAAGAGCUUGCUCUUACGGGUGGCGAGUGGCGGACGGGUGAGGAAUACAUCGGAAUCUACUUUUUCGUGGGGGAUAACGUAGGGAAACUUACGCUAAUACCGCAUACGACCUACGGGUGAAAGCAGGGGAUCUUCGGACCUUGCGCGAUUGAAUGAGCCGAUGUCGGAUUAGCUAGUUGGCGGGGUAAAGGCCCACCAAGGCGACGAUCCGUAGCUGGUCUGAGAGGAUGAUCAGCCACACUGGAACUGAGACACGGUCCAGACUCCUACGGGAGGCAGCAGUGGGGAAUAUUGGACAAUGGGCGAAAGCCUGAUCCAGCCAUACCGCGUGGGUGAAGAAGGCCUUCGGGUUGUAAAGCCCUUUUGUUGGGAAAGAAAAGCAGCAGGUUAAUACCCCGCUGUUCUGACGGUGCCCAAAGAAUAAGCACCGGCUAACUUCGUG